CCUACGGGUGGCAGCAGUAGGGAAUCUUCCACAAUGGGCGAAAGCCUGAUGGAGCAACGCCGCGUGAGUGAAGAAGGUCUUCGGAUCGUAAAACCCUGUUGUUAGAGAAGAAAGUGCGUGAGAGUAACUGUUCACGUUUCGACGGUAUCUAACCAGAAAGCCACGGCUAACUACGUGCCAGCAGCGGCGGUAAUACGUAGGUGGCAAGCGUUAUCCGGAUUUAUUGGGGGUAAAGGGAACGCAGGGGGUCUUUUAAGUCUGAUGUGAAAGCCGUCGGCUUAACCGGCGUAGUGCAGUGGAAACUGGGAGACUUGAGUGCAGGAGAGGAGAGCGGAAUGCGAUGUGUAGCGGUGAAAUGCGUAGAUAUAUCGAAGAACACCAGUGGCGAAGGCGGCUCUCUGGUCUGUAACUGACGCUGAGGUUCGAAAGCGUGGGUAGCAAACAGGAUUAGAUACCCGGGUAGUC
RNAcentral lists this ribosomal RNA (465 nucleotides) under uncultured bacterium. RNAcentral's name for it is "partial 16S ribosomal RNA". It matches the Rfam family "Bacterial small subunit ribosomal RNA", at positions 338 to 795 of the family's 1533-position model. The record is from RNAcentral.